AUAAUUUACAGACGCCAGUGCAAAACAAAAAAUACAGGGCUCCUUGCUAAAAAUUCAUUAAGAAUUAUUUUUUCAGGAUGGCAAUAAAAGAGCACUAAACCAAGCAUGGGGCCCAGUGCAGCUGCACAGAGGAUGCAUGCCCAUCAAGACAACUCUUGACACCAAGCUAAACAGUGUCUCACGGUUCAAACCCAGCUGUCCCCUCCAAGGAAAAGGUCAGAAGUGCAGGCCCUCCCAUUUUUCCCAAAAGAAAGGGGAAUAUACCCUUUGAGGAAUCUUCUCUCAUUGUCUUCUGGAGGGGGGUGAAUCCGCUGCCCCCCCCAACACACACACACACACACACACACACACACACACACACACACACACACGCCCCAGCUCCCAGAGCUACUUUGCAAUCCCCUGCCCACCAUAGAGAGAGCACGGCCCUGUCCCUCAUGCCUCUCCUCUCUUUUACCCUCUGCAGAGCUGAGCAAGGAGCACCACCAGCUGGCCAUGUCCCUGGAGAAAGAGUUGCUUCCCCAACAGGCAGAGCUGGUGGUGACCAUCCUGGACCCAAUUCUUCCCAGGCAGGGGGAGGCAGUCUUCACCUCAGGCUGUGCAAAGGCUUUUACAGUGAGGAGCUGAAGGGAUACGGGUGUGUAUGUACGCUGCUCCAGAAGCAGCAGAGACGCUGAACAGGAGACAACAGGAACCAAGUGAUCUCGC
RNAcentral lists this long non-coding RNA (708 nucleotides) under Sus scrofa (pig). RNAcentral describes it as "lncRNA (ENSSSCG00055002942.1, ENSSSCG00065007023.1)". The record is from RNAcentral. Lineage: Eukaryota; Metazoa; Chordata; Mammalia; Artiodactyla; Suidae.